GUGACUGUAGGUUUAGAUGAAUGGAAAAUGAACUUGCCAGUUCACAGCUAUGUCCUUCCCAAUUUAGGAGGUUAAGGGCAGGAAAAACAUGAGAAACUCUUUUGAGAAGCUGCACAAGCUGACAUGGAGGAUCAAGGAUUUCAAAAGCUUUGAAUAUAAAGAGGUGUCAGACUUACAUCAGAGCCUGAGACUUGACAUGCCUAUUUUUGCACUCGCUCAUUUUUCAAAUUUCAUAGGCAUUGCUCCCUCCAAAUCACCGCUCUUCUAAUUUUAUCCUGGAGUGUGCAUCCCAGAAGACAUAAGCUGACACAAUUGGGAACUGAAGUUGCUUGAAAAAGCUGGUGGUAAGAUUAGGGAUCAGCAUCAUAUAUCACUAUUUCUCAAAGAUUAUCUGGUCUCUUGAUGGCAAAUCUACAAUAUUGAAACCUUUGAAAGAGAAAUUGUGUUUUGUGAGUUACAUGACUACCGUUUGCAUCCAAGGUCUCCUCUGUAGUCAAGAGAAGAAUGCAGAAACUACAUGUCCAAGAAUCUCUUUCCAGACUCUAGACAGCUUAUACGUAUUUGGACAAGGCAACGUGAUGAAGAAAUAAUAUAAUUGUAGGAUCACCUCUGUCCAGUAGCUGUUAUCCAACAUCUGCAUACUUAGAUUUCUGGAGAGGUAGGUAAACUACUGUAUUAGAAAACACUAGAAGUGCAUGAUUGUAUUUUUCAUGUCCAAAGUCUAACACAUUAAAAGAGAAAAGGAUUCGAAAAUUAUCUACUUUGAAAGUUUUAAACAAAAGUGAAUUUUCUUGGUUAAAUAUCCUAUUUAAUUGCCUUUCUAAAAAUAGCCUAAAUGUCCAUUGUUUGAUAUAUGUGGUGAGAUAUUUUUUAAAGUACUUAAUUAUAAUGUUUUAUUUGAUGAGACUAGCUAUUUGGUAUUUUUUUAAAUGGAAAGGGGGCAAACAUACUUAAUAAAAUGCAAAAAUAGUACUGGAAAAAUAUUUUAAAUGAUUGCUAAGUAUUUUAGUGAAUACCUAAUUGCAUUAAUUUGCUGAGACUGCCAUAACAAAAUAAGACACAUUAAAUGGCUUGAACAACAUAAA
This 1085-nucleotide long non-coding RNA is filed under the name Homo sapiens (human). RNAcentral describes it as "long intergenic non-protein coding RNA 1684". Lineage: Eukaryota; Metazoa; Chordata; Mammalia; Primates; Hominidae. The record is from RNAcentral.